CUGUUAUUGCUAAUAUUUUGUUUGUUUAGCAAUUUGCCUAUAGUAAGUCUGAAAUGUUACACCUCCAUGGUAUUUGGCUGCUGAUGUGUCUGCCUGGGUUUUUAAGUUUUUUAAUUUUUGGUUUUUAUUUUUAAAGCCUGGAGUCCCAGGGAUCACCUCUGUGUCUGAACAGCUUAGUAGUCAGCCUAUAAUUGGUCAGAUUGGUCUGCUGGUAGGACAUUCAAUAUACAACAGUAUUUAAAUCUUUCUGCCAUGCCCUCUUGUGUUUCCUCUGUAUAUGCACACAGGUUUAUGGUCAGCUAUGGAUGAGUGGGCAGUUGGAGCCCACUCUGGUCUCUCCUGAGCAGAUUUGUGGAGAGCCUAUAAAAUCCUCUUAUGACUGUCUUACUUCCCUGAUCUCCAUACCAAAUAUCUGGCUAGUCUUCUGGUUCACUGCUUGCCUCAAACCAGGAGGCAACCUCCAUCUAGCUGAGCCAGUGGUGUUCCCACUCAUUUGCUAAGAUCACUACUAUUACUGACUGGACAUGGGAUUUUUCUCUGCUCUGUUUCAAAUCAACUCAAGCUCCUCCUCUCCAUUAAUCAAGCUGCUGGAUUUCUCACACUACCUUGCCCUGCUAGGUUGAGUUAAGGUAAAGAACAGCAGUCACUCCAAGCAAAAGGAUAUCAACCCCUGUUUUCUUAUCAUGAUUAAUUGCUUCUCAACCUGACGGGUGCCUUUGGUCGUUUCCAAAGCCAUGAAAUGGUUAUAUUUGACAAGUCUGUCCAGUUUUAUUAUUGCCUUUUUAAGAGAGGAGUUGCCAACUUAUAAUUUCCAUCAUAUUGGACAUUUUGCCCCCAGUAUACCUUAUGUCUUCAAAAAGAACUACAAAUUAUUAUGUGACAUAAACAUACAAUUUUUUCCUAUUAACUAGUUUGGGAAAUCAGCUUUUAUCCAUCUUCUCUUUUCUGGAUCCUAGAGACCUCACAUUUGAAUACAGAUGUUUUUUUUCUUUUCCUAAUCAAAUAGUAAGUUAGCCAAGUAAAAUAACAUAGGAAAGAGAGGUUUCAUGAAAUCAAUAGCUUCCAACAUCUGCAGAAUAAGGUCAGUUGUAAAAAGAUUCUCUAUUUUUGACUGUUUCUCAUAUACUCUGUAAGGAAUAAGAGAAGUGGUUUUUCUUUCAGGUAUUAAAGUUAACUUCAAAGGUGAAAGGGAGAAACAAGAGGGUCAAAAAGAAAGAGGAAGGAGAAGAACCUUAAGCCCUAGUCCUAGGCUACAAAGAAAGAAAAAAAAAGAAGAAUAUUUAACUUUCUACCAAUAAAAACUUGAAGCCAAGGAUAUUAAGAACAGGAAAUUCAGAAGAACUGAAUGAGCCAGCCACUCCCUCAAUACCAAACCAAGUAACUCAAUAUUAGUAUUUAUUUUGUGCCCACAAAUUCUGGAAAAUGACUCCAAGGUUCAGCCAGUUAUAUAUAAUCAGAGGGAAUUUUUUAAUUGUGUAGGGUUUUUGAGAACCAAGUGUCCACCCCAAUUCCCUGAAAAACAGCUGCAUCAAAAAUAUAGCAACUCAAAUACAACUGGCUCUGCCUACCAUGCUACAGAAAAUUUAAUGACUUUAGUCUGUUCCCCACACUUUUCUCCCUCCACCCCACUGCUUUGCCUAAAUGGCCAAGAACAUAGUAUUUCUUUGUCCAAAGAGCCAACAUUCAAAUAAGAACAAACAUGUGUGCUCAAGGCUGCCAAAUAUUACCAGAUGAACCGCUCUUUGCCUCCAAAGGAUUUCACCUGACUUCCAACUUCCCCAAUAAGCUUGUAGUCAUUUUUGGGUCCUACUACAAACCAUUAACCCAAAGAUGGCUACAACCUGGCAAAAAUGUUGUGAAGCCAUCUUCCCAUUCCCCUUUCCUUAGGCAGAAUUAGAUUAAGAUAGAGGAAUAUUUGUUGUGUUAAGGAUAAGAGACUGAGCUGAAAUAUAAACUGUACUGGGUGUAACUCAAGCUUACUGAAACCACUCCUGUCAGGCAUCAAAGCUGCCCAAACAGCCCUCCUGUGGCUUCCAACAGAAACUCUAAACAGCCCUUUCCUGUCUGUCUGAAGGCAGUGACAGCACCGAUGAGCCACUAACAAGCCACUACUGCUGCUCUUGUAAUCCUUCUGGAGAGUCUAUACGAUGUAUCAAAAUGGAAUGCAUACCCUUAGUAAAAUGGUAUUAAAACUACCUGCCAAAAUUAGAAGAGUGAGAAUAAAAGAGGUCGAUCCAGGGUAACAAAGAUUUUCAACAUCAUGAAGAUUUCUUUCCAAUUCUAUCCUAUUUCAUAGCUCUAAUGUUUAGAACCUACUGAAAGAAUACCUACAAAUGCUUGGAUUUUCCCUGCCUGACUGCAGAGGGCCACGCAGUUGCCUUGGGCCCACUGAACUCCCAAUUCCACUGCCAGCCUCGGCACACACUUCUAGUGCCAUUUGGCUCUACUAUGGCUAUAUUCAACUUAGAAGUACCUAAACCAUAUUUUCUCCAUUUUUUUCUGGCCACUCCAAGUCUCCAAUUUUCUUUUCUGGCAUCUUCGAACCCCUUAGGAGCCAUGAAAUGUCAAUCAAUGCAUGGGCAUUCCAAACUAUAUAUCUGGAUUUGCCUUUUAUAAAACCACAGCCCUCAGCACAAAAGACUACAAUCCCCUUUAUAAGAGGCUGACCUGUAGUGGGAUGCACCUGGGAUAAAAAUCUUUAUGAGACUAAAUAAUUCUAACUUUGUCUCAAAUAUGAGUAUCAUGCCCUGAAUACUUAAUCCUGGUGGUCGAUGAGGCAAAGUCACCUGGCAUUCCAAUAAAAUCCUUAUAUAGUCACCCUAUGUUAAGAUUUAGAAAUGGGAAAAUACAAAUGAAAACAUUAGAAUAAAGCAGUUACUCCCCGCUAUGGUGGGGCCAGACAGUGAAGUCUUUAGCUAAUGCCUGAAAUAGUGAACGGCCACCAUGAAAGAAGGUAGAACACAAUUACAUCUCUCUCCUGUGUGCCCCUCACCCAGAGGCAAAAGAAUUGUGGCCACCAGAAAAAUGGAUAGGAUCUCUUUACUGGAUGGGAAAUACUGUGCGAAGCAGUUCAAGCAUAUUUCCUGCUAGAGGUACCUUCCAUCCACUGGGACACUGAAACACCCAGAGAAUAGGCAGAGGAGCCUGGGAGGGGAAUAGACUGGGCUACCUGCCAGAGGGUAUGGUCCAGCCCUCCCACCUCCUCACCAUCUUUCUCAUCCAUGGCAUCCUGUGUAAGAAGGGACUGGGAGUGAGGACAUUAAGGGUCUCACCUCAUCCUAGCAAAGCCAUGAUCACAGACCAGGAAGCUGCUGUAUGUGCACCGUGUCAGCCAACUGGCUUCCAGGGGCUGGGCCACUAUCAAAACAGAUGCUUUGCCACCUUGGCUCUUCUUCAAUUCAAAGGAGGAGAGAGAAGGAGGAAUAAAAAGAGGAAGGGAAGGAGGAAGAAAGGGGUAGAUAUGUGGAAGAAGAGGGAAGAAAAAGAAGGGAGCAAAGCACUUACUAUAGGCUUGUGUAAUCCCCCUCCCCCAACACUUAUUAGACUCGACUCACAGAAUGAGGAGUAACCAGCCUAGUCCUUGCAACCAAGUGCCUGCUGAUAAUGGAUUCAUUUGCAAUUUAAUGAAUUCACCAUCCAUUUUCAAUUUUCCUCUUUUCCAUUGAAUGAAUAGUAACACUUAUUAUAUACAUGUGAUAAAAACAUGUGGGGAGUGAGGGAGGCAGGGUGCAAACUGGUACUCAAAAGGAACUGUAAUUAAAUGAGAAGAGGCUACCUCUCAUAUGUAAAGGUCUGCUAAGGACCUGAGCUCCCUGGAAGCAUGCUUGCUUACUAUCUUUACCAGUGACAACAGUGGAUCUGCCCUGAGCCAGGCUUCUGUCUAGGGAGGGGGGAGUGGAGACCCAUGAGCUAGCUGGAGACCUCACCUUGAAACAUGGACUUCCUAUUCUUUAUUAUUUUUUUCUUACCUUUUUUUGGGGGGGGGAGCUGCACUCACACCAUGUGAAAAUUCCCAGGACAGAGAUCGAACCUCUAUCACAGCUUGUGUCGAACCCGAGCCACAGCAGUGACAAUGCCAGAUCCUUAACCCACUGUACCAUCAGGAAACUAUGGUACUUGCCUAUUAUGAUCAACUUUAGUAUCUGGACCAACUGCAGUGGCUUUUCAAAUUGCUUCAAGAACAGGAGGUCAUGUGCUUUGAUCAUGCCCCCUGCAAGGCCUGGCAAGCCUACAGCACAAUCACUAAGGACUAGAGUUGCCCACGCAAUCUCCAAAGAGAAAUUUAGCCACCAGCUAUGUCCCAAGACAAAGGGACUAGUGAGGAAGACAGAUCCAAAUGGAGGAAAAAAACCUACUAAGUGAUGUCUGGGCCCCUGGACUGGUCAGGGUUGGCAGGGGCGGUGUGGGUGGGAGGGGAUAAAACUAAAUUCUACUAAAAUCUUAGAAUUUUGGAGUUGGGAAGAUCUUAGAGAACCCAAAUCCUUUAACUGCAAAGAUAAAUAAAACAGACUUUGUCUUUAUCCUCAAGUUAAAACUUCAUUUAGCAGAGCUGGCAAUAGAAGCAAAUUCUCCAGGGACCAGACACAACAUGAUGGGCUGCAAAGAGCUUGGAGUCAGGUCACAGCUGUUCUAGUUAAGACAGGAGAUCUUGAGCAAAUGACACUCCUCACUGCUGUCCUCCAAAAGUGAACUAGGAGGGACAUGCAAAUCCUGCUUCCUGAGGAACACUGUUCCAAAGUCACAGACACAAUCUGAAAACCCAUCACCAAAGGAGGCCAUGUUUACCUGCCAAGAUAAAUUUCCAUUUCACUCAUCAAACCCUUUCACACAUUAAAAACGUCCAACUCCAGACAAUAAAGGAUGAUACGAUUAUGUACAUCAACCCAACCUGGCCUGACCCAGCCUACUGCAGCAAUGAAUUUGAGAGGAGAACAUUCUAGAUAAAUAGUCACAGAAAGGUCCCAGAAUGGACUAGACUCUACAACUGCUGAUACACUGGCAGAGAUGAGGCACGGGCUCAACAAAGCCUGUGUGACCACCAAAUACAGAACUUCCAUAGAUUCUAGUAGGACCCAAGUUUUAAAAGCUGUUAGCAACAGUGGACUCAGCCAGUAAUCAUAGUGACUACUAACACAAUAUAUCAAUAUACUCUCUCCCAACAGCCAAUGAACAACCCUAACUUGGCCUGCAGAGCCCUCAACCUCAGCCUAUAGCCCUCUCACUCUUACUCAUUGCCCUCCAGCCACACUGGCCUCACUUUGACCUACGGAUAUGCUAAGCAAAGUCCUGACCUCUGGACUCUCCCCCUUACGUUUCCUCUCUCUUCGGUGCCCUUCCAGGUAGUGGCUCCCUUACUUCAUUUAGAUUUCAGCUCAGAACCCUUUUCCAACCAUCCUAAAUGUACUCUCAACCACCCUCAGGUCUCUUAACCUUGCUUUAUUUAUUCAUUUAUUUAAGGUUUUAUUUAUUUUUAUUGAUUUUUAUUUUUUUCCAUUAUAGUUGGUUUAUGGUAUUGUGUCAAGUUUCUACUGUACAGCAAAGUGAUCCAGUCUCACACACACACACACACACAUAUACACAUUCUUUUUCUCAUAUUAUCUUCCAUCAUGUUCCAUCACAAGUGACUAGAUAUAGUUCCCAGUGCAGCAUGAUCUAACUGCUUAUCUACUCCAAAUGCAAUAGUUUGCACCUAUUAACCCCAAGCUCCCAGUCCAUCCUACAUUCCUCCCCCUCCCCCUCGGCAACCACAAGGUGGUCGUUGUCCAUUUCAUUUUGCAUUAUGUCCCAGCACCCAGAGGAGGCUGCACAAAUACUUACUGAGCUAUGUAAUUACAUUUCCAGCCACUGUGAACCAAUCUAAUCAUGAAUGAUCUUGUCUUCCUUGGUUCCACUGAUGAAGUGUUCUCUGCUAUGCUUCUCUACCAUUAUUGCAAAGUGCUGAGGGUACUGGUUUUGCAUUGCAGUUUGGUCCCUCCAGUAUAUUUUUCUCUGCUGGCAACAGAUAACGAAAUAAGAGAAAAAGCCACAGAAUCAGCAAGCCCCUCUGGCAAAGUGAUCAGUUAUGCUCCACCAGCCCACUGGUGCCCAUUUUCAGAGGGGCCACCCUUUUCAAUGCAAAACCAGCCACAGGGGCUGCAAAUUCCAGCAGGAAACUGGAGGAUGAUGGGGAGAGGUUUUAGAAAACAAUUUCCAUAUGUGGUCAGACAUCAGUACAAACCCAACUGUGUGACACGACUAAGACGGGAACGGAUGCCUGGUUCACAUGCGGUGUGAACACAGGAAGAGCGUGACAGAGGAGGGGGCUGAGCCAAACACCAGUUCCACAUUUACUGUACUGUUAAGUGGAACUGGUCUCCGUCAUCUGCUUUAAUCUCCCACAAAACCCCCUGAAAAAUGCUGAGAAGCUCAUAUUAGGGAAGAUGAUCAGAGAAAUGCAAAGGAAACAGCUCCUGCUAGAAACGGUAAGAGCCAGCACUCACAAUGCUUCAAGUGGCCAAGAUAAAGCUGGUGGGAGCAGCUCUUCUUGGUUUCAUUACAUUGGUUCAUGUGUACGUUAUCUGGAAGAGGGGUAAACCCGAGCAUGUGUGUGUAGAAUGACUGGACCCCAGAGAGCCUGUCCUGAAUGUGCCCAGCCUGCAAGGUGCCAGCCAUUCUUCAAGUCAGCCCUGAGAACAUGCCCUUUCAUCAGGGGUGGGUAUCCAGGACCACUCCCGGGUUCAGUGACUUGCUGUGAAGACUCACAGCUAAGAUUUAUUUUAGCAAACGCAAAACCAGCAAAAGGAAAAAGUGCAGAGGGCCAAGUCCAAAGGAAACCAGGCACAACCUUAUGAGGCCUCUCUCAGUGGAGUCAUACAAGAUGCGGUUAAUUCCUCCAGUCACGAGUUGGGACACCAUGUGUGAAAUGCUGUCUAGCUUGUCCGAGACUUGAUGCCCAGGGCUUUCACUGAGCGCUGGGCACACAGGCACCUGCUGCCUGGCAUAAGCCAAGAUGCAAAACUCCCAGAAGGAAAGCAGGCAUUCAGCACAAACCACACUGUUUGCAUGAGCACUUUGAGCUGCUCUUAUCAGGAAAUGCUAGGAACCCUCCUGAAAUCUAAGUUCCCAGAAGCCAGCCAUGGGCUAACCUUGAAAGCAGGCCUUUCUAAGAAUAACAGUCUCAGGACUGAACCCUUUCAGCGCAGUCAGCCCUACGUCAUACCAAGUCUGUCACCUCUAUAAACUCCUAAAACACAGCAUGCUACUGUCAAGACGGCCCUGCCUCACCCAGCAUGUGAGACAGUGGGUGGGAAGCAGCAGCUGGCAGUUUUGUGCCUGGGCCACUACCCAGGGGCGCUCUCAUCAGCAGGGACUCUGAAGAGCCACAGCAAGGAUAUCACAUACAGGAAGAGAAAGGCCAUAUCCCAGGGCACAGAGCCCAGCAGCAAUUCUCCCCAGUCAGAGAGGGAGAGGCAGGGCCGCACAGCAGAAGAUAAGCCCCACUGAGCCAAGGCCGUGCGGUGGGGGCCAGCCAAGCUGAGGUGCUCAGCCGCCAGCACAAGUACAGCCCGUGAGAAAUCAGAGUCUGGGUCCUGAGGUGAUGGAAGUGACAGUCACAGGGGCAGAUGCGGAGAAGCCCUGGGAGGAAGACUGGGGCCCUACGCAUAAGUGAGAUGAGGGACAUCCAAAAAAGACUGGUGGUUCAAACAUAUAGAGAGAGGCUUUCAGCUUCCACAUGCUUACCACUGGCAUCCACCUGCUGGUUAUUGUUAUUUAAGUAUGAUUUGUCUCUGUAAUGCUUUGAAAAUAGUGGCAAAAUGAGGUUUGAGCAGAUUAAGCUCAUUUUGCACAUCUGAUAUUUCCAGAAGGCACAGGGAGUGGGGAGGAGAGCAGAAACGGAAGUGGGGUGGCUUUCAGGUAGGACAUGGUUACAAAGCAACAUUUCUGGAACCCUCCUA
Molecule: long non-coding RNA, 7934 nt
Filed under: Sus scrofa (pig)
Lineage: Eukaryota; Metazoa; Chordata; Mammalia; Artiodactyla; Suidae
Description: lncRNA (ENSSSCG00025031764.1)
Source: RNAcentral